Molecule: ribosomal RNA, 253 nt
Filed under: uncultured bacterium
Lineage: Bacteria
Description: partial 16S ribosomal RNA
Rfam family: Bacterial small subunit ribosomal RNA
Source: RNAcentral
UACGUAGGGGGCAAGCGUUGUCCGGAUUUACUGGGCGUAAAGAGCGUGUAGGCGGCCAAACAGGUCCGUUGUGAAAACUGGAGGCUCAACCUCCAGACGUCGACGGAAACCGUGUGGCUAGAGUCCGGAAGAGGAGAGUGGAAUUCAUGGUGUAGCGGUGAAAUGCGCAGAUAUCAGGAAGAACACCAAUGGCGAAGGCAGCUCUCUGGGACGGUACUGACGCUGAGACGCGAAAGCGUGGGGAGCGAACAGG